AAUUGUAUUUGCUUCCGAUCACAUUGCAUUAUUGGUUACUAGGGGAGGCUAGGGAUAGCAAGCCGGUAAUUAGCAAUAGGCUCUUUUCACCAAGGGAUUCUGUUAAGGGUAAACUAGAAAGUUUGCAUGGCAAUUAGAUAAAUAAUUGAAGUAAAUAAGAAGAGUAGAUAUAUGAGAGUGGAUAAGAUGAAAUUGUAAACCCCAACAACACCAUUCAUCCAUAGUUU
This 227-nucleotide long non-coding RNA is filed under the name Vigna radiata. RNAcentral's name for it is "long non-coding RNA (VRAD_LNC015778)". The record is from RNAcentral. Lineage: Eukaryota; Viridiplantae; Streptophyta; Magnoliopsida; Fabales; Fabaceae.